GAUGAACGCUGGCGGCGUGCUUAACACAUGCAAGUCGAACGGUGAAGGCGGAGCUUGCUCUGCUGGAUCAGUGGCGAACGGGUGAGUAACACGUGAGCAAUCUGCCCCUGACUCUGGGAUAAGCGCUGGAAACGGCGUCUAAUACUGGAUACGAGCUGCGAAGGCAUCUUCAGCAGCUGGAAAGAAUUUCGGUCAGGGAUGAGCUCGCGGCCUAUCAGCUUGUUGGUGAGGUAAUGGCUCACCAAGGCGUCGACGGGUAGCCGGCCUGAGAGGGUGACCGGCCACACUGGGACUGAGACACGGCCCAGACUCCUACGGGAGGCAGCAGUGGGGAACAUUGCACAAUGGGCGAAAGCCUGAUGCAGCAACGCCGCGUGAGGGACGACGGCCUUCGGGUUGUAAACCUCUUUUAGCAGGGAAGAAGCGAAAGUGACGGUACCUGUAGAAAAAGCGCCGGCUAACUACGUG
This 468-nucleotide ribosomal RNA is filed under the name uncultured bacterium. RNAcentral's name for it is "partial 16S ribosomal RNA". It matches the Rfam family "Bacterial small subunit ribosomal RNA", at positions 28 to 507 of the family's 1533-position model. The record is from RNAcentral.